This 347-nucleotide ribosomal RNA is filed under the name uncultured eukaryote. RNAcentral's name for it is "SSU rRNA". It matches the Rfam family "Eukaryotic small subunit ribosomal RNA", at positions 594 to 945 of the family's 1831-position model. The record is from RNAcentral.
AUAGCGUAUAUUAAAGUUGUUGCAGUUAAAAAGCUCGUAGUUGAACUUCAGACCUGGUUGGGCGGUCCGCUUAACGGCGUGUAAUGUUCGACUGGGCCUUACCUCUUGGUGAGCCGGUGUGCCCUUUAUUGGUGUGCGUCGGGGAACCAGGACUUUUACCUUGAGAAAAUUAGAGUGUUCAAAGCAGGCCUGUGCCCGAAUACAUUAGCAUGGAAUAAUAAAAUAGGACGUGCGGUUCUAUUUUGUUGGUUUCUAGAGUCGCCGUAAUGAUUAAUAGGGAUAGUUGGGGGCAUUGGUAUUGAGUCGCUAGAGGUGAAAUUCUUGGAUUGACUCAAGACCGACUAUUG